AACUGCUGUAGCGAUAUUCUUUCUGCAGGUGGAAACAAGCCUAUGUAAGGCAAGGCAAAGGUGAAGUCAGACUGGAUACUAGGAAGUAUUUCAUGGAGCCAGCCACUGUCUAAGCUUCUUAUUCAGGAAGAAGCAGCUGAAUCAGCUGUUGCAGAUUCCCCGUUCCCCAGUCCGUCCCUCCAGCCUGGAAAGGACCCCUCCUGCUACCAGGGAAAGCAGGGAGUGAAAACCCAAAUACCAUGCCCUUGACUUUGUUAAGGAAAAAACAGAGCCAGCAGUAUCUGUCUAUAGUGACUGGAAUUAUGGCACUUUUCCCUGGAAAUUCACUGUGAAUUUUAAGUGCAAAGUUCUGAUGAUAUUUGUUAAGCUAUCAUUGAAACUAUAAGAGGGGUCUUUGUGUUUAUUUUUGAUACCUGAUAAAAUAGUCCUGCUUACUGAAGCUCAUGUCAUGCCUUAUCUUUGUGCUUUACAAUGACAUUACUUGUUUUCUAUUAAGGUUUCUAAAGCAAUUAGUUGAUCAUUUUUUAUUCUUGUUUCAUGAUGAAGUAAAAUUUAUUUUGAUCCACACAAAUUUUAAUUUAAGCUAAAUUACAAAUUUCCUUGCUAACACCGAUUUCUUUCAAUAUUCUCCUUUAAGUUUAAUUUUUAAAUUUAAUCUUAAAAAUGAAUAAGUUGCAGAAGAAUAGUAUUUAGAAAGUAUUGUAUAUGUGAAACUGAAAGCUCAGAAAGCUGCAAAGCCUCUCUGAAAUAAAUAGGUCUAGGCUUUAUCACCUUUCAUUGCAUGUUGUACAAAACACAGGGAAAAUGGCUUUGCUUUCUGCCUUGAGAAAAAAGUAUGUUAGCAUAUUGUAUAUUUUUUGCUCACUUUAUUAUUAUUGUUCUCCUUGCACGUAUCAUUACAUUAUCAUAUACUUCCAUUUAUUGUUUUAAAAGGUAUUUUUCAGUUUUCCUGUAUUCCAAUAUUUUUAAAAAAUCAGUUCAUGUACAUAUGACAUUAAUUUGCAACUUACUCUGAACUGAUCCAUUAAUAAGAAGACAUCUAUAAUAUGUCAAAAUUUGAUUAUUCAAAGGAUUAUUAUUUUUUAAAUCUGGUGAACUUGGCAGUGGAGAGACUUUCACCAUACUUAAAGACUUUCAAAAUGACAAUUUCCUAGUGUACAAAACUAACUUUAUAUAGAAAACAGAAUAAUUUCAAUGUGUGGGAUGAUAACCCCUUUGGAGAUAUGCCUCAGCAUUUCAACACUGAUAAAAUGAAAUAUUUCUCAUAGUUCUGAAAUUGCUUUUGUGGAUGAGGAUAAAAUAAUUGAAAACUUUUGUUACACAGUUUUAAGGCCAAAUACGAACACGCCUGUAGUGCACUUUACUGCAUUAUGCAAUACACGAGGCAAGCAAUUAACUUCAAGCAAAUAUUCAUUUUAGUUUCCUAUUAACUCGGUAGUCAGAGGGAUGUCCUCCAAAAUUAAUCUUAGGGGUACUGGUUGCAAAUGAUGAUACAUUGUCAAAGUUCAAACCAUUUGAUUGUAGUGUAAUUUUUCUUUCUUCAGAUAGUCCUAUUUCAGUUUCAUUGAUGCCCUGAAGAUAAUCAGGCCAACAGUGGAUUAUUCUCCUUACAAGUGUGCAUCGCAGAACAAUGAUCACAAAUUUUUUGUAAUUCUGCUAUAUUCAGGGAAAAUAUAUUGUUUACAGCAAAGAAUUAACUGGUUUAUUUUCAAACUAGAAAAAAUUUAUAUAUUGUUUUCAAUACAUGAAGUUUUUGCUUUA
Long non-coding RNA from Falco peregrinus (peregrine falcon), 1761 nucleotides. RefSeq lists it as uncharacterized. The record is from RefSeq and is a predicted model, not a curated record. The transcript has 3 exons. Lineage: Eukaryota; Metazoa; Chordata; Aves; Falconiformes; Falconidae.